Molecule: long non-coding RNA, 1419 nt
Filed under: Calidris pugnax (ruff)
Lineage: Eukaryota; Metazoa; Chordata; Aves; Charadriiformes; Scolopacidae
Description: lncRNA (ENSCPUG00000011867.1)
Source: RNAcentral
AUGCCCUUCACGUGCCAACCUCAUCUCCCCGGCUCCUCCAGCAGAUGGGAAAAAAACCAUUAUUGCUUCCUCCCAGGGAGGGGAAUUGCUCAGAUCAGCAUCCUUCCUCAACCUCCUCUCCAUCCUCUUCACCCCCAUUACCCCCACUCCACCCACACACGCUCCUCUGGGGACCUGCAGAAGAGCCAGAGCAUCCACUGCUCAAAAAUACCACCUAGAAAUGAAGACCCGAAGCGUUUGUGCUUCCUGGAGUUACUUGUGGGUGGAUUUUAUCUCCUUUUCCAUCUAUUCUGGGUGCUCUUUGGCGAGGCAGGUCCUGACCAGCAAGCGGGCAUCCUGCCUUCCCUCGGCUGGGCUCACCCACCACGGCUGCAGAAUGCGAGAAAGACAUUUAUCUCCCCAAAACAAACCCCAGAAGAUACAGGCAGAACCGCCAGCGACGGGGACCCGCUGGAGCACCCGCGGCGGGAGGGGACAGUUCCUGAGCAGCACUUCGGUUGGGUUUUAAGCUACUUGUUUGUUUGUUUGUCGCUGGGCAACCGAGAGAAUGGAAAAAAAAUAAAUAUCAAUGUCAUAUUGUCACCUAUGAGUCACCGCUCAGGGCGGGCUGAGGUGCCCCCUUCCUCCCGCCAUCGAGCACGGGGUGGCCGGAGAAGAGCCCAAGACACCCCAAAAACGGCUCACCCCACUUCUCGCUGCCUGCCCAACCCUGCCCCGAUGCCUUCCCCAUCCCUGCAACUGGGGACGCCAGUGGCUCGGGGACAUUGGUGGCCCAGGGACAACUUUCCAGGCCCUGGAAGGCGGCACAGGAAAUUUGCAUUUAUAUCUGCAUUUCCUAAUUGCGCCUGCGGGUUUCCUGGGGCAGCGCCUGGGUUUGGUUUCCAUGGCAGGUUUUGUGCGGACCCCGAGAACCGAGGGAGGCACAAAGGGGCCACAAUGGACCUGCCACUCACCCGCAUCAAAGGCGGCCGGCGGGGCGGGACGGGGGCACCGGGGACGGGGGCACCGCAGCCUUUACCCCCCCCCAGCACCGGGGCAAGACACGGGGAGCCCCCCAGGCAGGGAAGAGGCCGGUGGGCAGCCGACACUCGCGGGGCACUGCUGGUUUCGGCGCUGCCGGAGCAGCAGUGGGGACGAGAGUCUCAGCCACCAUCGGCCGGAGGUGGCAACCACGGAAGUGGUGCAAGAGCCAGACCCAGAUGUUCCCCCUCUUCUCACUUCCCGUUACCUUCAGGCAGGUUUUCACCGGGCUGGGGUGGGUUUCUUUCCCCUUCCAACUUCCCUGGUCCAUUUAGGGACUUUCUUCCCGGUGAGAGUCCCUGCCCCAGCUCGCCUCACACACCGCUGUGCCCAUCCCGCUCCUGCGCUCACCCCAGGGAACCAGGAGACCAGCCUAAACUGGGAAAACCUGCUCCCUGA